UGUCCGGAAUUACUGGGUGUAAAGGGAGCGUAGGCGGGAUCUUAAGUCAGGUGUGAAAACUAUGGGCUCAACCCAUAGACUGCACUUGAAACUGAGGUUCUUGAGUGAAGUAGAGGCAGGCGGAAUUCCUAGUGUAGCGGUGAAAUGCGUAGAUAUUAGGAGGAACAUCAGUGGCGAAGGCGGCCUGCUGGGCUUUUACUGACGCUGAGGCUCGAAAGCGUGGGGAGCAAACAGGAUUAGAUACCCUGGUAGUCCACGCUGUAAACGAUGAUUACUAGGUGUGGGGGGACUGGCCCCUUCCGUGCCGCAGUUAACACAAUAAGUAAUCCACCUGGGGAGUACGGCCGCAAGGUUGAAACUCAGCGGAAUUGACGGGGGCCCGCACCAGCCGUGGGACUAUGUGGU
RNAcentral lists this ribosomal RNA (405 nucleotides) under uncultured bacterium. Its description in RNAcentral is "bacterial SSU rRNA". It matches the Rfam family "Bacterial small subunit ribosomal RNA", at positions 542 to 945 of the family's 1533-position model. The record is from RNAcentral.